This 263-nucleotide long non-coding RNA is filed under the name Elaeis guineensis (African oil palm). RNAcentral describes it as "long non-coding RNA (EGUI_LNC031652)". The record is from RNAcentral. Lineage: Eukaryota; Viridiplantae; Streptophyta; Magnoliopsida; Arecales; Arecaceae.
GUGGGCUUUUGGACGUGCCAAAAUCGGAUCCAGAUGGCAUUCUCAGAGCUUGAUCUCUUCAAUGUUUCUCUCGAAGGUGAUGCCGAGCCCUCUACCACUCGGGGUAGGUCCAGGAGCAUGGAGAUCUGUGAUCUCGAUCCUGUUCUCUAGGAGGUCUGUGAGGAGGUUCCCGAUGAGGCUUUGGAGAUUGGAGUUGGUCAUUAUUUAAUGUAGAAGUCUUUGAAGUCAUCUUGUCUGAAUGAUGAUGUUCUUGUAAUUGUGAU